CGAGACAGCUCCCUUCUGAUGCUUUCUAUCUGCCUUUGAAAUUCAUCAGCUGAGGGUGAGGAAGAGAUGGGAGAAUUGGAGUUUGAUUAUGUCAUAGAAGAAUUCCUGAAGGAAUUCUGAGAGAAGCUGACCAGAGACCAGAGAAAGUGCUAGAGUGCAGCAGAAUUGGUUGUUGUCUUUUUCUUUCAGCAAGCCAGCAACUAUCACGAUGGAGGUAGGAUUAUAUUUUACAAUUAAUAUUUGUUUUAAUGAG
This 253-nucleotide long non-coding RNA is filed under the name Sus scrofa (pig). RNAcentral's name for it is "lncRNA (ENSSSCG00055027323.1)". The record is from RNAcentral. Lineage: Eukaryota; Metazoa; Chordata; Mammalia; Artiodactyla; Suidae.